RNAcentral lists this ribosomal RNA (434 nucleotides) under uncultured Blautia sp. RNAcentral's name for it is "bacterial SSU rRNA". It matches the Rfam family "Bacterial small subunit ribosomal RNA", at positions 341 to 792 of the family's 1533-position model. Lineage: Bacteria; Bacillati; Bacillota; Clostridia; Lachnospirales; Lachnospiraceae. The record is from RNAcentral.
ACGGAAGGCAGCAGUGGGGAAUAUUGCACAAUGGGGGAAACCCUGAUGCAGCGACGCCGCGUGAAGGAAGAAGUAUCUCGGUAUGUAAACUUCUAUCAGCAGGGAAGAUAGUGACGGUACCUGACUAAGAAGCCCCGGCUAACUACGUGCCAGCAGCCGCGGUAAUACGUAGGGGGCAAGCGUUAUCCGGAUUUACUGGGUGUAAAGGGAGCGUAGACGGUGUGGCAAGUCUGAUGUGAAAGGCAUGGGCUCAACCUGUGGACUGCAUUGGAAACUGUCAUACUUGAGUGCAGGAGGGGUAAGCGGAAUUCCUAGUGUAGCGGUGAAAUGCGUAGAUAUUAGGAGGAACACCAGUGGCGAAGGCGGCUUACUGGACGGUAACUGACGUUGAGGCUCGAAAGCGUGGGGAGCAAACAGGAUUAGAUACCCUGGUA